UUUCUGGUUGAUCCCGCCGGAGGUCACUGCUAUCGGGGUUCGAUUAAGCCAUGCGAGUCGAGAGGGUUCGGCCCUCGGCGUACUGCUCAGUAACACGUGGAUAACCUGCCCUAGGGAAGGGGAUAACCCCGGGAAACUGGGGAUAAUACCCUAUAGAUUACAGAUGCUGGAAUGCCCUGUAAUCCAAAGUUCCGACGCCCUAGGAUGGAUCUGCGGCCGAUUAGGUUGUUGUUGGGGUAAUGGCCCAACAAGCCCGUAAUCGGUACGGGUUGUGGGAGCAAGAGCCCGGAGUUGGAUUCUGAGACACGAAUCCAGGCCCUACGGGGCGCAGCAGGCGCGAAAACUUUACAAUGCGGGCAACCGUGAUAAGGGAACCUCGAGUGCCUGUAAAUGCAGGCUGUUCAGGUGCCUAAAACACACCUGAAGAAAGGGCCGGGCAAGACCGGUGCCAGCCGCCGCGGUAAUACCGGCGGCUCGAGUGGUGGCCGCUUUUAUUGGGCUUAAAGCGUUCGUAGCUGGGUUGUUAAGUCUCUUGGGAAAUCUGGCGGCUUAACCGUCAGGCGUCUAAGGGAUACUGGCAAUCUUGGAACCGGGAGAGGUGAGGGGU
This 607-nucleotide ribosomal RNA is filed under the name uncultured archaeon. RNAcentral describes it as "bacterial SSU rRNA". It matches the Rfam family "Archaeal small subunit ribosomal RNA", at positions 1 to 616 of the family's 1478-position model. The record is from RNAcentral.